Molecule: unclassified non-coding RNA, 303 nt
Filed under: fungal sp.
Lineage: Eukaryota; Fungi
Description: partial internal transcribed spacer region
Rfam family: Eukaryotic small subunit ribosomal RNA (bases 1-46)
Source: RNAcentral
AAGUCGUAACAAGGUAACCGUAGGUGAACCUGCGGUUGGAUCAUUAUCACGUAUCCACGUUAUCAACCAACGCGAACUUUCGGCUAGUAGUUUCUUCGGAAGUGAACGCCUUUCUCAGCUCUCUGUUUCAGCCGAUUUAUUUCGUGCGGAAACUCUGUGGCUGAGAUAAACUUGAUUAACUAUCAACCCCCUUUAUACAUUAUUGUACUGAACUGUUUCUUCCUCUGACAGCUUCGGCUCGAGGAGAAGAAAACAAAUUUACGAAACAAAGAACAACUCUUAGCAACGGAUAUCUUGGUUCUC